AAAACACACCCAUAAACAUUUAGAACAUUCUAGAGAGAGAAAGGGAGGAGAAAUUUAGAGAGAAAUCAAUUUUGACCAAAAUCUAAGCCCCGAAUCGCGAAGCUCAUGAAGAGAAAAGUGUUGUACGUCGCGUUGCCUUCAAUUUGAGCUAAAAAUCAGCCAAGAAGAAGAUUGUUGAAGUGGUUGCUGCAUACUUAAGAUUUUGGGCGAAACGGGAAUUGAAUCUGGACGAGCGUAAUGCGCAACUAAGGUACUCCCAGGUGAGUUGAAGACAGUAUAGAAGAUGUUCCAGUGCAGACGGCAAACUCUAUUUGUUCCCGGAGUGCUGCCGAGUCAGGGUUUGUAUGUUAUGCUUUCUGGAUUACGUUAGAGACUUUGCAGACAACGUCGUGGGUAUUGGUUAUCAGUCUGUAAGCGGCUCCGUCAGCCGAUAUGUCGGUCUGUGUUAUGUACCGAAUCUUUUAUGAUCACAGAUUUGUUCGGCUUGGAAGCUACGAGAAAGAAUAUUUCUGGAAAAAAAAAAUUACGGUGUAUUUUAUCUUAUUUGAUUUAAAAAGUUUGACGUGAUUUUAUUUGCAGCAAAAGUCUGAGGGUUCGGCCCUAAGUAAGGGUCGGGUGCCCAUCACACCCUAGGGAUAUUGGGGUGUGACAUUGACCAAGCUUUUAGGAGAAAAUAAGUGCUUUUGGAGAGUAGCAGAAGCAGUUUUUCAGAAGCUAAAAAAAUAGCUUUUGCCCAAAAACACUUUUUUGAAAAGUACUUUUGAGAAAAAUACACAUAGAAGCACUUUUUAAAAGCUUGGCCAAACACUAAUUACUGCUCAAAAGUACUUUUUAAAUUAAUUGGCCAAACACAAACUGCUUUUAGCCAAAAAUACUUUUUUGAAAAGUACUUUUGAAAAAAAAAUACUUUUAAAAAUAAGCUGUUUUUAGAAGCUUGGCCAAACAAGCUAUUAACCACAUUGUUUGUACCUCUCCUAUUAUAUACUAUUAUAUAUAUAGAUAUAGAUUUCCACCCAAUAAACUCAAUUAUUAAUUAAAUAAAAAAAAUAUGUUCAGUUAUAACUUUGCAACAAGGAAUCCCAAAAGCCGCGUCUUUCAAUAUUCUUUAGAACCCUUUCGGGCCAAAAUUUCCACGGCUUCAGUUACAGAGAACAAAUCGCCACUCUACAAUCAACCACCAAAGUAGAAGAAUCGACCCACCGCUACCGCCGUGAUGAAUACCGAGAACCUUCAUAUUUUUUUGAUUCAGGUUCAGAAGGAGGAAAACGUGGGUUCACCAUGAUAUGAAUGCGCCUUUGUCUCAUUACUUCACAUAUACAGGCGAUAAUCUUAUUUAACCGGGAGUCAAUUGAGUAAUAAUUGUAGUGAUAUCCCCAUAAUACAUGCCUGUGUAAGAGUAAUUGAAUUGGAUAUGUUGUCGAAUCCAGCCAAAGAUGAUGUGGAAGUACUGCAUGGAAGGUGUGUCAUAUAAGCUUUACAUUCUUCGCAAAUUUCCCAUAAAGAGGUUGUGAUUGAUAGCACCUCAGUGGAUGCUGCUAAUCUAUAGAGCAAUAUUUUUUUUUUUUUUGGGUUAUUUGUUCUUCUGGUCAUGAAGAAAAGUUUGCUUCAUCGCUUUUGAGAUGUCCAAUAUUUAUUUAGUUCCCUGCUUUUUGAACUGAACUGUUAGUUAACUAUAAACUAAUUGAACUUCUCUUCUUUGGUGAAUUUACUUGCCAGAAUGCAGUAAUGGCAAAGCUCAUAGGUAUCCCAAAGGCAUCUUUAAAUUUGAGAUUUUUUUUAUUAGAAUUAUAUAUAUAUUACUUUGAUUGAUUGUAAAUUAGUUGCUAUAUUUGCCUUUAUUUUGAAUUUUUCCACUGCCAAAGCAUGAAUCAAUAUGGUUAUGUUUUUGUUCUCUGUCGCGGACAAUGGUGGAAUGCAGAUGAGAAGUUUAAUCCCCUCCUACCCAGGCAAUUCUCAAGGUGCAACUAUCUAUAUAUUUUCUUUUCUUUGUAAUUAUUAUUUUUCCUCAUAGAACCUUGAAUAUGUAUUUUAUAUUUAUUGAUUAGAAGGUUUGGAGAUGGGGCUUUGAACAAGUGAUUUAUCAUUUUGAUGAUACUUUUUUUUUAAACAAUAUAUAGAGUAUUAAUAGGGUGAAUAUCAAGAAAUUGACUAAAGUGAUUAAUUGAUGUGGGUCUAUUCAACUGAUAAAAAUUGUAAACCUAUCCACCCUAAUCCCAUCAUACUAUCACUGAUAUACUAAUUGACAAGUAGCAACAGACAAAGGCAAAUUGGAGCUACCACAGUUACUUGACAACUCCAAGGAUGAUCAUUUGAUUGUUGCACAACUAUUCGGUUUUGGCACUCUGAUUUUCAUGAGGUAAUACUCUACCAAUAUAACCUGUAUCAUGAAUUUAUUAAUCACAUGUCAUUUGUAAGUCCAUUAUCAAACUUAUUUUGACACUGACAUAGGUUUGUGAACUAAUUACAACCAUUCCUUGUAAUAAUAUUUUCCCGAAAUGGAGGCUUUGCUUGAUUUUUGAUUGGCAGAACACUUACACCUUUUAUCUUUGUUAUUUUGACACUGACAUAGGUUUGUGAACUAAUUACAACCAUUCCUUGUAAUAAUAUUUUCCCGAAAUGGAGGCUUUACUUGAUUUUUGAUUGGCAGAACACUUGCACCUUUUAUCUUUGUUAAUUUUUAUAUUAAAUUGGCGUCGAAUCACGGAAGAAGGAUAGAGAAUAUAUUGAACUUACACUUCUGUGUUAAGACUUUUCCACUUGAAGUGAUGUGGCUCCUCUCAUACAGUAGGAAACCUAUUUAUCUCUUCUUCUUUUUUGGCUUUUUAUCUUCAUUUUUAUCAUUUGGUGCUCUUUUACGAUUCUAUUGCGUAACUUAGAAAAUCCGUGGUGUGAUGAUUAGUCUCGAGAUGUUGCUUAGGCUGAAAACAAGAAAUUAUUUGUGACCAACAUAUUUCAAUGGUACAAGAUGGUCAACAAAUUAUAUAAAGGAAAAACGUGAGUUUCUCCUCAAUAUUUUUUCUUUUUUGGUUGCUAAAUCUAUUAAUAUCUAUACUAGCGAAAUAUUGUUAUUUGCUGUGAAAUACUCAAUUGUUUCAUCUUUUUAAUGGACUGAUACUUAUUCAAUAAUUUGGCAUCUGUCUAUCUUAUAUUCACGAUCUAUUGUAUGAAUAUGAUGCCAAUUAAAUUUACAAGCAGCAUAGGUAAUCACCAAUGUUCACGAUCAUUGUAUAUGGUGCUUAAUAAGUUUAUAACUUCACAUUUGUUUGAAUUUUAAUGUUUAGUUAUUUUACCAAAAUAUUAGCAAAUUUUAAGAACAUUGUGAUGAUAGCUACAAAAUAUUUAUACUAAUAUGUUCUAUAGGUUGUCGGAAUGACUCUCAUGUACCUAAAUCUAAUAAAGAUAUGCUCUCAUUCUAUAUAUAUUUUGCAGAAUCUUCUAGUUUGUGGAAAGUGAUGGCUAUGCUGAUGAUUAUUUGGUGGAUUUUCUAUUCACAAUGAAAUGAUUUGCGUCCAAAUUUCACCUUAAGGACCGAUGAAAUGGUUAUUUGCGUCCCCUAAGAUAGCCCACGUAACAGUACUUUUAGCAGUAACAUUAAUUUAGUUUAGUGUAUAAUCUCUAACUCUGCUGCCUGCAGUCACUAACUCUCCUUCUUGCCUCUUUGCUUUCCCUGUUAUUAAUUUUUCUUUUGAUGCCUUUUAAUAUUCCAUGCGUGAGGGGUUUGUAUCACCGUGUCAUUUGAAAGAGCGUAUGCAUCAUUAAGGAAUUGUUCUGAGCACACUGCCCAUAUUUGAUUUGUUUCUGAUGCAGGAGGCUUAUUAUCACAAAUCCAUACAGUAGAAAAGGAUUACUUAAGUCUUUUACAAGAAAUAAACUACAUAUAAAGCUGGUCUGUGGAGGAGUAAUAUGACACUUCUUAUAGACUAGGAAAUGUGUUUUUCAUUUAUCUCCUUUUUCCCUUUCGUCUUUAUUUUCUUUUGUAUUUUUCCUCUGCUCUUCUCUUUUUGCUCUUUUCUUAUUUUAUUAUCACGUAUGUGCUAUUGUGCUUUGAUAAAAUAGGUAGUCAAGGGUCACUUUAUAGUUCUCUUAAUUACACCUGUUCGUAUUUUUUAAAAGUCUCUAAGAGAAGUGUUUACCCACAUUGCUUUUCUCUUCAUUCUUCAUAUUUUAGCCUCUCUUUGUUUUUUUUUUUGGUGCUAUGUUAAAAUAAAUCACUUUUCUAAUUAUCAAAAAUCACUUUUCUAAUUAUCUUAAUUACACCCUUUUGGUCUUCCUUUAACAUUUUAAAGAAAAAUGCUUAUACAAAUUUGAAGAUAUACGACCCUCCACAUUUUCUUGCUCACCCUUAUUUUUACACCACAAUUGAUAAGGGAACCAGAGGUAAAGUUUACUGUCUACUCCCGUAAUAGAAGUGCUGAUACAUUAUGCAUAUUGUAGUAUGUGCUCUAAAUAAUUCCUAUUUAACUGAACUCAAAUAUAUAUUGUUUAUAAGCAUUUUCUUUUUCAUGAAAAAAGGGUAUAAUAAAUUUAAACAAAUUUUUCCAACCGCGUGAAAUGCGGGCUCAUUGACUAGUAUAUAUAUAAAGCAGGGCCCUCAGCUAGUGACGUAGCAUCUCUCGCUGAUCAGAAAACGUAUUUAUCUCUUCUCUCAGAUUUGAGGACUUUUCUUACCGAUUUCACAGAAAAAAAAAAAGGAACAAUUAUUAAAAUCUAAAAAUUAAGGUUCAGUCGCAACGUCUAAAUAAUAAGGAAGCAGAAAAGGCACUCCCUUUCUCCAUUCUUUGUAACCUGUUCGCUACCAAAUUCUUCUUCGUUUCCAACUUCUUCUUCGUUUCAACACCAACCACACCAGCAAUAUAGUUAAUCAAUUUAAACAAUCAAUCAGCCAUUUCAGUUUCAAUCGCGAAGAAAUCAACAGUACUAAAAAAAAAAAAAAACACUGACCCCAACAAUCGUUUCAAACCAAAGCCUAAAAAUCUGUUGCAUCUAAGGGCGAGAAAAAGUCAACAAGGAAGAGUGUUUUACCAUCUGUGAGAAAUAUUGAAGCAGCCCUUAUAUUGGGUUUCACCAUUUUUUCGCCUCAUUCGUCGGAGCCGGAGCAACAAUCCACCGGGUCACGGAGAUUCUGUGUGGGCUAUAAGAUAUGCUAUGCAUGGAAAUCCUCCAUUCUUUUAUGAGAAAUUUGAGGAAGAAGUUGAAGAUAUUGCUUGUGUAUUGAAGAGGCAGAUCAGAAAGAUUUACAGGCAACUUAAUGCAAAUUUCCAUAGGGGAACUGUGUGAGAGAAAACAGAGGCAUAGGGUGCAAGCAUAAUGUAAAAAAAGCUUUUGUAGGGGCACGUUCAAGGGUGACAAUGAGAUUGAGAGAGGAGAAAAUAUUAAGACAGAAUUAGAGAACGCCAUCAUACAUUUGAGGAGUUCAAUAAGUAUUAUCUGGAAGAACGUCUAUCCUACUUCAACAUGGUGCGUUGAUGAACUUGUGAAAAUCCUUAAUUAAGAGGACAAAAGGGCAUGCAAUUCUUCUUGUGUUUUAUCAUGUGGAUCCUUCUGAAGUUAAACAUCAGAAAAAGAGUUUUGCAGAAGCAUUUACGAGAUAUGCGAGGCAAAUUGAAGAAGAGAACUAGGAGAAGGGAUCAUCUAACUUUCAAAUUAUAUACCAUAUGGAGCAAAAAAUCAAUAAAUUUCUUGGUUCUUUUCCCUUUCUUCUAUUUAAUGUUCCUACAUAAAUUCUGUAAUUAGUGAUGAAUCUAUGAAAGAACAAAUGUCAUCAAAAUAAUGAUUAAAUUGAGGAGCAUACUAGCAUUCAUCAUCA
This is a long non-coding RNA of Lycium barbarum (goji berry), 5806 nucleotides long. RefSeq lists it as uncharacterized. The transcript has 7 exons. The record is from RefSeq and is a predicted model, not a curated record. Lineage: Eukaryota; Viridiplantae; Streptophyta; Magnoliopsida; Solanales; Solanaceae.